Molecule: unclassified non-coding RNA, 361 nt
Filed under: fungal sp.
Lineage: Eukaryota; Fungi
Description: partial internal transcribed spacer region
Rfam family: Eukaryotic small subunit ribosomal RNA (bases 1-44)
Source: RNAcentral
GUCGUAACAAGGUUUCCGUAGGUGAACCUGCGGAAGGAUCAUUACCACACCUAAAAACUUUCCACGUGAACUGUCGUUAUUUGUUGUGUGUCUGCGCGUUGCUGGCGUGCGUUUGCUUACGCUUCGGUGUUUGCGAGUGCGUGCUGGCGGUGCGCGGACUGAACGAAGGUCGUGUUGCUGUGUGCCUGCUGCACUGCUGACUUUGCAUUGAUUUGCAUGGUCUUGGCGGAGCGGCGGGUGCUGUGCGUGCGCGGCUGACUUACUUUUUCAAACCCCAUACCUAACUUACUGAUUAUACUGUGAGAACGAAAGUUCUUGCUUUUAACUAGAUAACAACUUUCAGCAGUGGAUGUCUAGGCUC